AGUGAGAUGGCUGAUUAGAAGGUGAUAGAUUGUAAAUCUAUUUAUGAAUAAUAAAUUCUUUCACUA
This 66-nucleotide transfer RNA is filed under the name Margattea angusta. Its description in RNAcentral is "tRNA-Tyr". It matches the Rfam family "tRNA". From Rfam's summary of the family: Transfer RNA (tRNA) molecules are approximately 80 nucleotides in length. Lineage: Eukaryota; Metazoa; Arthropoda; Insecta; Blattodea; Pseudophyllodromiidae. The record is from RNAcentral.